UCCCCGUUACCGGGGCAGUCUGGCUAGAAAAAUACAACUAACCAUAAGGGUUGCGCUCGUUGAGGGACUUAACCCAACAUCUCACGACACGAGCUGACGACGGCCAUGCAUCACCUGUCACUGCGUUCCCGAAGGCACUUUCUCCUUUCGGAGAAAUUCACAGGAUGUCAAAUCCAGGUAAGGUUCUUCGAUUAUCAUCGAAUUAAAGAACACGCUCCACCGCUUGUGCGGGUCCCCGUCAAUUCCUUUGAGUUUUAAUCUUGCGGCCGUACUCCCCAGGCGGGGUGCUUAAAGCGUUAGCUGCGCCACUGACGGGCAAGCCCGCCAACAGCUGGCAUUCAUCGUUUACGGCGUGGACUAC
This 361-nucleotide unclassified non-coding RNA is filed under the name uncultured bacterium. RNAcentral describes it as "contains 16S-23S intergenic spacer region". The record is from RNAcentral.